RNAcentral lists this ribosomal RNA (501 nucleotides) under uncultured soil bacterium. RNAcentral describes it as "bacterial SSU rRNA". It matches the Rfam family "Bacterial small subunit ribosomal RNA", at positions 26 to 519 of the family's 1533-position model. The record is from RNAcentral.
AGAUUGAACGCUGGCGGCAGGCCUAACACAUGCAAGUCGAGCGGUAGAGAGGUGCUUGCAUCUCUUGAGAGCGGCGGACGGGUGAGUAAUGCCUAGGAAUCUGCCUAGUGGUGGGGGAUAACGUUCGGAAACGGACGCUAAUACCGCAUACGUCCUACGGGAGAAAGCGGGGGACCUUCGGGCCUCGCGCCAUUAGAUGAGCCUAGGUCGGAUUAGCUAGUUGGUGAGGUAAUGGCUCACCAAGGCGACGAUCCGUAACUGGUCUGAGAGGAUGAUCAGCCACACUGGAACUGAGACACGGUCCAGACUCCUACGGGAGGCAGCAGUGGGAAUAUUGGACAAUGGGCGAAAGCCUGAUCCAGCCAUGCCGCGUGUGUGAAGAAGGUCUUCGGAUUGUAAAGCUACGUUUAAGGUUGGGAGGUAAGGGUUGUAACGUUAAUACGUUGACUAACGUUUGACGUUACGACAGAAUAAGCACGCUAACUCGUCGCAGCAGCCGUA